Molecule: ribosomal RNA, 303 nt
Filed under: uncultured bacterium
Lineage: Bacteria
Description: partial 16S ribosomal RNA
Rfam family: Bacterial small subunit ribosomal RNA
Source: RNAcentral
AGCAGUCGCCGCGGGAAUACGGAGGGUGCAAGCGUUAAUCGGAAUUACUGGGCGUAAAGCGCACGCAGGCGGUUUGUUAAGUCAGAUGUGAAAUCCCCGGGCUCAACCUGGGAACUGCAUUUGAAACUGGCAGGCUGGAGUCUUGUAGAGGGGGGUGGAAUUCCAGGUGUAGCGGUGAAAUGCGUAGAGAUCUGGAGGAAUACCGGUGGCGAAGGCGGCCCCCUGGACAAAGACUGACGCUCAGGUGCGAAAGCGUGGGGAGCAAACAGGAUUAGAUACCCGUUAGUCCCUGUCUCUUAUACA